GCGGGCGCGGCGCUGCCGGCCCGAGUUCGAGAACGUGGCGUUCGGGCGGCGGGCGGCGGCCUCGCACACCUGCGGCUCCCCGGAGGCCGAGGACUUCUGCCCGCACGUGCGCGCGCCGGGCGCGGGGACCCAGUGCCAGCGCUGCGACGCCGCCGACCCCGGGCGCCACCACAAUGCCUCCUACCUCACCGACUUCCACAGCCCCGACGACAGCACCUGGUGGCAGAGCCCGUCCAUGGCCUUCGGGGUGCAGUACCCCACCUCCGUCACCCUCACCCUGCGUCUGGGGAAGGCUUACGAGAUCAGCUACGUGAGGCUGAAGUUCCACACCAGCCGCCCCGAGAGCUUCGCCAUCUACAAGCGCAGCCACGAGGACGGCCCCUGGGAGCCCUACCAGUACUACAGUGCCUCCUGCCACAAGACCUACGGCCAGCCCGAGGGCCUCUAUCUUCGGCCUGGCGACGAGGAGCGGGUGGCCUUCUGCACAUCCGAGUUCAGUGACAUCUCCCCCCUGAGCGGGGGCAACGUGGCCUUCUCCACCCUGGAGGGCCGGCCCAGCGCCUACAAUUUCGAGGAGAGCCCAGGGCUGCAGAUCGGCUCAACACGUUCGGGGACGAUAUCUUCAGGGACCCCAGGGUGCUGCAGUCCUACUACUAUGCCGUGUCCGACUUCUCAGUGGGCGGCAGGUAGGUGGGGCCACGUGGGCACCAGAGCAGAGGAGGGGCUGUGUCAGGACUGCUGGUGGCUGCUGUGAGGUGGCGAGGCAGCUUGGUGACCCGGAGCACAGGAGGGACAGACCCAGCCCCAUGUGAGGCCUUCGAGCCGGCUCCAGCGCACUCUCUGCCCUUCGCUGGUUCUGCCCUUAGAGCCCUCACCUUGUACCUGCUGUUCCCUGGACCGGGUCCCUGCCCCCUUCUUGUUUGGCACACGUGACUGCCCAGCCCAGAGAGAGACACCCUGCACUGAUGCCAGCCCCGGUGCCAGGGCCUCUCAGCAGUGGCUGGGGUCUGGUGAGAACAGCCUGUGGCCACUUGGUUUCCUGCACCUGCUCGUGCCAGGAAGCAGGCACCCGAGGUGCAGCCUCCAUCCUUGUCCACCUCAUCACAUUACUGCCUCCCAGGGCGUCUGGAGCAGUCAAGCCCAGAGGGAGGCAGGACGGCAUCUUCUGCAUAUGCCUAUCGAGGAAGGAGACGGAGAGAGACAGUGUGUUCCUGCCAGCCUCCUGGGGUGGCAGACAGGAGCCAGUGGUGGCUGGGAACAUGUCAGCGUGCCCCGGAUUCAUGAGGACGGGGUGCCAAGGACAGGGAGUGGCCUCACACUGAGUCUGGGCACAUGUGAAGGCAGUGCAGCAGGGGAGGGGAGGCUGAGGCAGAAGGGGUCAGGGCUGUGGGCCACGCACCCCCACCCUGUGGUCCGUGAGAAGCUGUCACAGUGCAGCCAGGGACUGAUGGGGUCGGGUGCAGGAGGACCCAGCAAGCUGAGGAGAGCCGAGUCCACCUCUGCAGUUGGGUGGGAGCCAGGCAAUUUGGCCCUGCAGUCCCGGCCAGCCGGGAGGGAGGGGCAGGAGCCACGUGGGAUGGAACGGCAGCUCCACGUGUCCCCUGAUGGGCUGUGGAAGUGGACAGUGAGAACGGUGACCCGCGCUGGGGCCCAGGGUUCGGAGACACCGGGGUGGCGUUGGAGGACGGGAAGGGAUGUGGCCAGUGCCUGGAUUUCAGGGUGUCUGCGAGCUCCGGGGAAGCUGGGGCAGACCCCUGACCCGUGGUCAGGUUGGACCUCCCGGGACGGUGCCUGCCCUCAGGCCUUCCCGCCGGAGAACAUGUGGGCCCCAGCUGUGCAGCGGGCCCACCCUCAGACCGCAGCUGGCUGGGCAGGCUGCUGUCCUCUCGGGGAUGGAACAGGUGGCCCGGCAGCUGGAGGGCUAGAAGGCACCUUCCUCCGCUCGGGGGCUUCAGGGGGAGGAGAGUCCGUGACACCCUCUCG
Molecule: long non-coding RNA, 1983 nt
Organism: Heterocephalus glaber (naked mole-rat)
Lineage: Eukaryota; Metazoa; Chordata; Mammalia; Rodentia; Bathyergidae
Source: Ensembl